Molecule: ribosomal RNA, 253 nt
Filed under: uncultured bacterium
Lineage: Bacteria
Description: partial 16S ribosomal RNA
Rfam family: Bacterial small subunit ribosomal RNA
Source: RNAcentral
UACGGAGGGUGCAAACGUUGCUCGGAAUCAUUGGGCGUAAAGCGCACGUAGGCGGUCGGCUAUGUCGGAUGUGAAAGCCUCGGGCUUAACCCGAGAAGGGCAUCCGAAACUGGCCGGCUUGAGUACGGAAGAGGGUCUCGGAAUUCCCGGUGUAGAGGUGAAAUUCGCAGAUAUCAGGAGGAACACCAAUUGCGAAGGCAGCUCGCUGGGACGUUACUGACGCUGAGACGCGAAAGCGUGGGGAGCAAACAGG